CAGAGAUUGGCCAUUCUGCGACUGCGCAAAGAUGGUGGAAGAGGAGAACAUCCGCGUGGUUCGUUGUGGCGGCAGCGAGUUGAACUUUAGGAGAGCUGUGUUCUCUGCAGAUUCUAAGUAUAUCUUCUGUGUCUCUGGAGACUUUGUUAAAGUUUACAGCACAGUUACAGAGGAGUGUGUACACAUACUGCAUGGACACAGAAAUCUGGUGACUGGAAUCCAGCUUAACCCCAACAACCAUCUACAGCUGUAUUCUUGUUCCCUUGAUGGCACAAUUAAACUGUGGGACUAUAUAGAUGGCAUCUUAAUAAAGACUUUCAUAGUUGGAUGUAAACUUCAUGCCCUCUUUACUCUUGCCCAAGCUGAGGAUUCUGUCUUUGUUAUAGUGAAUAAAGAAAAACCAGAUAUAUUUCAGCUGGUUUCAGUGAAACUGCCAAAAUCAUCAAGCCAGGAAGUAGAAGCCAAGGAGCUGUCCUUCGUUUUGGAUUACAUAAACCAGUCACCCAAGUGCAUUGCCUUUGGAAACGAGGUAAAGUUUGUUUUGUUCGUUUUCUGUUUUGUACCUAAAAUUUAUUUCCUGCAAUCUCUCUUCUGAGCAUUUUAUGUUACAGUGAUUUUAUAUUCCCUUGAAUUACUAUAUUUGUGUUAGUAACUAAGAAGCCUCUUCAUUGCUUUAGCAUGUAUUUAUGGUAUAGAUUUUUUAGG
This 705-nucleotide small RNA is filed under the name Pan troglodytes (chimpanzee). RNAcentral's name for it is "retained intron". The record is from RNAcentral. Lineage: Eukaryota; Metazoa; Chordata; Mammalia; Primates; Hominidae.